AGAGUUUGAUCCUGGCUCAGGACGAACGCUGGCGGCGUGCUUAACACAUGCUAGUCGAACGGUGAAGCCUUUCGGGGUGGAUCAGUGGCGAACGGGUGAGUAACACGUGAGCAACCUGCCCUUGACUCUGGGAUAACUCCGGGAAACCGGUGCUAAUACCGGAUAUGACGCACGACCGCAUGGUCUGUGUGUGGAAAGUUUUUCGGUCAAGGAUGGGCUCGCGGCCUAUCAGCUUGUUGGUGGGGUAACGGCCCACCAAGGCGACGACGGGUAGCCGGCCUGAGAGGGCGACCGGCCACACUGGGACUGAGACACGGCCCAGGCUCCUACGGGAGGCAGCAGUGGGGAAUAUUGCGCAAUGGGCGAAAGCCUGACGCAGCGACGCCGCGUGAGGGAUGAAGGCCUUCGGGUCGUAAACCUCUUUCAGCAGGGAAGAAGCGAAAGUGACGGUACCUGCAGAAGAAGCACCGGCUAACUACGUGCCAGCGGCCGCGGUAAUACGUAGGGUGCAAGCGUUGUCCGGAUUUAUUGGGCGUAAAGAGCUCGUAGGCGGUCUGUCGCGUCUGGUGUGAAAACUCAGGGCUUAACCCUGAGCUUGCAUCGGGUACGGGCAGACUAGAGUGCGGUAGGGGAGACUGGAAUUCCUGGUGUAGCGGUGAAAUGCGCAGAUAUCAGGAGGAACACCGGUGGCGAAGGCGGGUCUCUGGGCCGUAACUGACGCUGAGGAGCGAAAGCAUGGGGAGCGAACAGGAUUAGAUACCCUGGUAGUCCAUGCCGUAAACGUUGGGCGCUAGGUGUGGGGCUCUUUCCACGAGUUCUGUGCCGCAGCAAACGCAUUAAGCGCCCCGCCUGGGGAGUACGGCCGC
RNAcentral lists this ribosomal RNA (866 nucleotides) under uncultured bacterium. RNAcentral's name for it is "bacterial SSU rRNA". It matches the Rfam family "Bacterial small subunit ribosomal RNA", at positions 8 to 889 of the family's 1533-position model. The record is from RNAcentral.